Molecule: long non-coding RNA, 430 nt
Organism: Malus domestica (apple)
Lineage: Eukaryota; Viridiplantae; Streptophyta; Magnoliopsida; Rosales; Rosaceae
Source: RefSeq, a predicted model, not a curated record
GUGCAGCCCAGGCCCUCUCCUCUCCCUCUCUCGCAGCUGCUGCCUUCUCUCUUCAUUCCCUCUUCCAUUUCCGAUUCCGCAAAUUCACCUUCUCGGCGUCAUCUUCUUCUAUUCCUCUCAGCCUCUCACGGUCGCAGCACCACUCGCCCGCUCACACCAGGAGGGAGAGAGAAUUUCAAGUGGUUAUCAAAUUUCCUGCAAGUAAUUUCGAGUUUUCCUCUACUUGGUUGAGUUUAUUGUUGCUCGUGUAAUAGUUAGCACCUGUCUUUUCUUGUAAUUUCUCGUUAAGCAUAGGAUGACCGCCGAGUAUUUCACAAAAUGUCUCAAAGAAAUAUGACAUUUUGGGUUAUUUGCUACUUUACUUGUAAAUCCAAGUUUUGCUAUGAAAAUUGUAUUUAUCAGGAAAUUCGAUAAAACCGCUUGCUGACGA